RNAcentral lists this ribosomal RNA (2900 nucleotides) under Klebsiella pneumoniae. RNAcentral's name for it is "bacterial LSU rRNA". It matches the Rfam family "Bacterial large subunit ribosomal RNA". The record is from RNAcentral. RNAcentral also lists the same sequence under 1 other name. Lineage: Bacteria; Pseudomonadati; Pseudomonadota; Gammaproteobacteria; Enterobacterales; Enterobacteriaceae.
UUAAGCGACUAAGCGUACACGGUGGAUGCCCUGGCAGUCAGAGGCGAUGAAGGACGUGCUAAUCUGCGAAAAGCGUCGGUAAGGUGAUAUGAACCGUUAUAGCCGGCGAUGUCCGAAUGGGGAAACCCAGUGCAAUUCGUUGCACUAUCGUUAACUGAAUACAUAGGUUAACGAGGCGAACCGGGGGAACUGAAACAUCUAAGUACCCCGAGGAAAAGAAAUCAACCGAGAUUCCCCCAGUAGCGGCGAGCGAACGGGGAGCAGCCCAGAGUCUGAAUCAGCUUGUGUGUUAGUGGAACGGUCUGGAAAGUCCGACGGUACAGGGUGAUAGUCCCGUACACCAAAAUGCACAGGCUGUGAACUCGAAGAGUAGGGCGGGACACGUGGUAUCCUGUCUGAAUAUGGGGGGACCAUCCUCCAAGGCUAAAUACUCCUGACUGACCGAUAGUGAACCAGUACCGUGAGGGAAAGGCGAAAAGAACCCCGGCGAGGGGAGUGAAAAAGAACCUGAAACCGUGUACGUACAAGCAGUGGGAGCACCUUCGGGUGUGACUGCGUACCUUUUGUAUAAUGGGUCAGCGACUUAUAUUCUGUAGCAAGGUUAACCGUAUAGGGGAGCCGCAGGGAAACCGAGUCUUAACUGGGCGUUAAGUUGCAGGGUAUAGACCCGAAACCCGGUGAUCUAGCCAUGGGCAGGUUGAAGGUUGGGUAACACUAACUGGAGGACCGAACCGACUAAUGUUGAAAAAUUAGCGGAUGACUUGUGGCUGGGGGUGAAAGGCCAAUCAAACCGGGAGAUAGCUGGUUCUCCCCGAAAGCUAUUUAGGUAGCGCCUCGUGAAUUCAUCUUCGGGGGUAGAGCACUGUUUCGGCUAGGGGGUCAUCCCGACUUACCAACCCGAUGCAAACUACGAAUACCGAAGAAUGUUAUCACGGGAGACACACGGCGGGUGCUAACGUCCGUCGUGAAGAGGGAAACAACCCAGACCGCCAGCUAAGGUCCCAAAGUCAUGGUUAAGUGGGAAACGAUGUGGGAAGGCACAGACAGCCAGGAUGUUGGCUUAGAAGCAGCCAUCAUUUAAAGAAAGCGUAAUAGCUCACUGGUCGAGUCGGCCUGCGCGGAAGAUGUAACGGGGCUAAACCAUGCACCGAAGCUGCGGCAGCGACACUAUGUGUUGUUGGGUAGGGGAGCGUUCUGUAAGCCUGCGAAGGUGACCUGUGAGGGUUGCUGGAGGUAUCAGAAGUGCGAAUGCUGACAUAAGUAACGAUAAAGCGGGUGAAAAGCCCGCUCGCCGGAAGACCAAGGGUUCCUGUCCAACGUUAAUCGGGGCAGGGUGAGUCGACCCCUAAGGCGAGGCCGAAAGGCGUAGUCGAUGGGAAACAGGUUAAUAUUCCUGUACUUGGUGUUACUGCGAAGGGGGGACGGAGAAGGCUAUGUUAGCCGGGCGACGGUUGUCCCGGUUUAAGCAUGUAGGCUGGUUAUCCAGGCAAAUCCGGAUAAUCAAGGCUGAGGUGUGAUGACGAGGCACUACGGUGCUGAAGUAACAAAUGCCCUGCUUCCAGGAAAAGCCUCUAAGCAUCAGGUAACAUCAAAUCGUACCCCAAACCGACACAGGUGGUCAGGUAGAGAAUACCAAGGCGCUUGAGAGAACUCGGGUGAAGGAACUAGGCAAAAUGGUGCCGUAACUUCGGGAGAAGGCACGCUGGUGUGUAGGUGAAGUCCCUGCGGAUGGAGCUGAGACCAGUCGAAGAUACCAGCUGGCUGCAACUGUUUAUUAAAAACACAGCACUGUGCAAACACGAAAGUGGACGUAUACGGUGUGACGCCUGCCCGGUGCCGGAAGGUUAAUUGAUGGGGUUAUCCGUAAGGAGAAGCUCUUGAUCGAAGCCCCGGUAAACGGCGGCCGUAACUAUAACGGUCCUAAGGUAGCGAAAUUCCUUGUCGGGUAAGUUCCGACCUGCACGAAUGGCGUAAUGAUGGCCAGGCUGUCUCCACCCGAGACUCAGUGAAAUUGAACUCGCUGUGAAGAUGCAGUGUACCCGCGGCAAGACGGAAAGACCCCGUGAACCUUUACUAUAGCUUGACACUGAACAUUGAGCCUUGAUGUGUAGGAUAGGUGGGAGGCUUUGAAGCGUGGACGCCAGUCUGCGUGGAGCCAACCUUGAAAUACCACCCUUUAAUGUUUGAUGUUCUAACGUUGGCCCCUUACCGGGGUUGCGGACAGUGUCUGGUGGGUAGUUUGACUGGGGCGGUCUCCUCCCAAAGCGUAACGGAGGAGCACGAAGGUUAGCUAAUCCUGGUCGGACAUCAGGAGGUUAGUGCAAUGGCAUAAGCUAGCUUGACUGCGAGCGUGACGGCGCGAGCAGGUGCGAAAGCAGGUCAUAGUGAUCCGGUGGUUCUGAAUGGAAGGGCCAUCGCUCAACGGAUAAAAGGUACUCCGGGGAUAACAGGCUGAUACCGCCCAAGAGUUCAUAUCGACGGCGGUGUUUGGCACCUCGAUGUCGGCUCAUCACAUCCUGGGGCUGAAGUAGGUCCCAAGGGUAUGGCUGUUCGCCAUUUAAAGUGGUACGCGAGCUGGGUUUAGAACGUCGUGAGACAGUUCGGUCCCUAUCUGCCGUGGGCGCUGGAGAAUUGAGGGGGGCUGCUCCUAGUACGAGAGGACCGGAGUGGACGCAUCACUGGUGUUCGGGUUGUCAUGCCAAUGGCACUGCCCGGUAGCUAAAUGCGGAAGAGAUAAGUGCUGAAAGCAUCUAAGCACGAAACUUGCCCCGAGAUGAGUUCUCCCUGAGACUUUAAGUCUCCUGAAGGAACGUUAAAGACGAUGACGUUGAUAGGCCGGGUGUGUAAGCGCAGCGAUGCGUUGAGCUAACCGGUACUAAUGAACCGUGAGGCUUAACCUU